AUGGACACCUCAGGAGGAACCAGAGAGGGAACCAUAAAUGCUCUCAAUGCAGCAAAAGUUUCAGCAAUGAAAGCUGCUGAAAUAGACACCGAGGAGGGUCCGGCGGUAGUCAAGAAACAGGAGGAGCUCGACGCCGACCUGGAGAAACUCUAUGUAGCAGACAGAGACUCUCGGCCUACAAGGAACUCACUCUGUUUGCGAGUGUCGCGUCGCUGGCGAUAUCAAGUGCCUGGGAUGUACACGCUUCACUGGCUUGUUUGUCCCUGCAUGUGGGAAUUGGACUCUCAGUUUUGCAUCUUGGCCUUGAUGAAAACUGAUGAUAAACGACCUCAUGUGCUAGCAACAGAAGGUACCUGGGCAUUCUCAGAAAUCAGCAUCCGCUGUAGCACCGCGGUAUGA
Molecule: ribosomal RNA, 399 nt
Filed under: Triticum aestivum (bread wheat)
Lineage: Eukaryota; Viridiplantae; Streptophyta; Magnoliopsida; Poales; Poaceae
Description: partial small subunit ribosomal RNA
Source: RNAcentral